CCUACCUUGAGCCAAAGAUAU
Molecule: microRNA, 21 nt
Filed under: Brachypodium distachyon (stiff brome)
Lineage: Eukaryota; Viridiplantae; Streptophyta; Magnoliopsida; Poales; Poaceae
Description: bdi-miR5165-3p
Source: miRBase by way of RNAcentral